Molecule: ribosomal RNA, 343 nt
Filed under: Dikerogammarus haemobaphes
Lineage: Eukaryota; Metazoa; Arthropoda; Malacostraca; Amphipoda; Gammaridae
Description: partial 16S ribosomal RNA
Source: RNAcentral
CGGUAUUUUGACCGUGCUAAGGUAGCAUAAUCAAUUGUUUUUUAAUUGAAAACUAGUAUGAACGGUUUAAUUUACUUAAUUAGUUUGUAAUUUUUAAUAGUAAGUUAAAUAUAAAGUAAGAAUUCUUUAAUAAAUUAGGGGACGAUAAGACCCUAAAAGCUUUAUGAUUGGCAUUUAAUUAGUGAUAGCGGUGUUAUUAAUUCACUGGGGCAGUGAGUUUAGGUAUAUUUAAGUAUAAUUAAAAGCUCCUUUAAAUAAAGAUUUCAUGUAUAAGUUACUUUAGGGAUAACAGUGCAAUAUAUUUGGGGAGACCAUAUCUAUAAAUAUGAUUGCAACCUCGAUG